Molecule: long non-coding RNA, 231 nt
Filed under: Diabrotica virgifera virgifera (western corn rootworm)
Lineage: Eukaryota; Metazoa; Arthropoda; Insecta; Coleoptera; Chrysomelidae
Description: uncharacterized LOC126887795
Source: RNAcentral
UGUAAUAAUGGUAGCCAUUUUAUAAAAACACAUUAAAUGUGAUUUUUUAAACAUUUAAGGGUUUUUACCCUAACCACUGGUUAUAUCCCUGGGUUGAUUUUUAAACUAUAGAAUGUGUUUGUUCGAAGUUUUCUCUUCUUUUGAGGUUUUUACACCUAUAAGACGAUAGCUCUGAUGAUGGCAUUAAUAUGCUGAAAGUACUUAGCUGAUUUAAUAAAUUUAUUUACACAC